AAUGAACGUUGGCGGCGUGGAUUAGGCAUGCAAGUCGUGCGGAAAGGCUCCUUCGGGAGUACUCGAGCGGCGUAAGGGAGAGUAACGCGUGGAUAUCUACCCCCUGGUCUGGGAUAGCGGCGGGAAACUGCCGGUAAUACCAGAUAAUGUCUGCGGACCAAAGGUGUGAUUCCGCCGGGGGAUGAGUUCGCGUCCUAUUAGCUAGUUGGUGGGGUAAUGGCCUACCAAGGCAAAGAUGGGUACCGGGUGUGAGAGCAUGGCCCGGCUCACUGGGACUGAGACACUGCCCAGACACCUACGGGUGGCAG
Molecule: ribosomal RNA, 308 nt
Filed under: uncultured Planctomycetota bacterium
Lineage: Bacteria; Pseudomonadati; Planctomycetota
Description: bacterial SSU rRNA
Rfam family: Bacterial small subunit ribosomal RNA
Source: RNAcentral